UCCCGCAAGGUGCGAUGGCACUAAAAUUACAUCUGCCAGAUUUUCCACGAGUUUUCCUACACCAUGUUUCGAGCCCACCUUUUUCGAGAUCGGCCGCUUGAGCUCUUAUUGAGUUCUUAUUGAAGUUAGUAGUGCUGUUCAGCAGAAUCCCGAUCAUUCCGGAAAUACUUAUACGCAUCAGAGAGCUUCAAAGAUAAGAAAAAAAUUAAAGUGAUUUGACGCUGAGAGGGGGAGGGGCAAUGGUGGGGACAUAAAUGUGGAGAGGGUAAAAGAAGGGUGGUGGAAGAUCUAUAUAAGUAUUCCUCAACCGCCGAGAGAGUCAGUCUACAUUUUGCAGUCGCACGAUGGAAACUUUCAGGAGAAUAUUUGGCAUGCUAGACAACCGAUCUCUCCGAUACGCUGAGAGGGUUUCUUGGACGUGGAGAGGAAUUGCUGCCUUCGAACGGACACGCAGGAAAACACGCGACGCAAAAAGAACAAAACAUAAACUAACGCGGCGUUUACCUGUCCAAUUUUUCAAUGAGGCAUCUAUGACGUUUGAUGUGAACGAACGAAUUGGCUGUGCUGUUCAGCAGAAUCUCGAUCGUUCCCGCAAAUACUUACGCGCAUCGGACAACUUCAAAGAUAAGAAGAACAUCAAGAUGUAUAAAAGAAA
Trachymyrmex septentrionalis is the source of this 655-nucleotide long non-coding RNA. RefSeq lists it as uncharacterized. NCBI's taxonomy places the organism in Eukaryota, Metazoa, Arthropoda, Insecta, Hymenoptera, Formicidae. The record is from RefSeq and is a predicted model, not a curated record. The transcript is spliced from 3 exons.